UCCUCUCCGGGAGUUGAAGUUCUUGGGCAGGCGCUCUCCCUAUAGAAACCCAUGGAAGCUCCACACUUAGUCAUCUUAGCUCCACGGACCCCACCAGAUCCUAUGCUUGUCCCUCAUUGGUUCAAAUUGAGUCACAUGUUCACCUCUGAACCAACCAUUGUGGCUAGAGAAAUGUGAUUAUCUGAUUGGUCAGGGCAAAAAAAACGCCGGCUGUGGCUGUUAGCUGGAGAGAAAGGCAGUUAACGUUUGAGAGCCUGAAGGAGCAGCCGAGGCCAGGCCUUAGAGAAAAAGCUAAGCCCCAGGAGGGUGUGUAACAGGAGAGAAAAGGAUGGCAGGGCCCGGGCAGAGUGGGAGAGGCUUCCAGGAUCACCGUGGUUCAUGGAAGGAGAUAGGCGCGCAUCCAAUGCCGAAGAAUUAACCAGAUGUAAGAAUUCUCUGGAUUAGCAUGCUGCAGAAUUCAAGAGCCCUUUUUAAAUUCAACUCCUGUUGCUUGCACACUGACAAAUUGCCAAUCUGCAUGCAGCAGGCACUGGCUAGUCUCUCACAGAUCGACCCCGACUUCACUGAAGCAACAGACUGCUGAAGGGACACUCUGUAUCCUUAGGGCCAACGUGCUCUGCCUGGCAUGUGUGUGUUGGCUGUCGCCCUCUAUCUUUAUUUACAGAGACAUAAGCAUUGCUUUCAAUAAGAUCAUAAUUGCAACAGGAGCCUACCUAAUGGAACUGGAAUUGGCACACCCCGGAUCUGCGGCACACCUUGUAGACUGUUAAAGGUUUCUGACUGGCUGGGACUCUUCCCCAUUGCUUGAAUUUCCCCCUUCUGAUGGAGCAGAAUAGAAUGAGGAGACAAGGACAACCAAUAUUAGUAGCUGGCGAGCAGGCACCUGAAGGAUUGUCAGCAUUGACCCUUGGCUUCAACCGUCUCAGUGGGGAAGUCAUAAAGGAGUCGUCCUUCAGGGCUUGUCAGGACAUACCAGGAGCGUCUAAUAACCUGAAAACCCCUGCCUCUGGUAACUUAAGGCAGCCACAGCCCCCACUCCUAAACGUUCCAAAUCCUCCCUACGUCAGCUAGAGACCAAGCACUCAAACACAUGAGCUGGUGGGGAUGUUUCAGACUUGGACCACAAGCAUUUCUUGCCACUGAUUUGUGAACAUACAGAUGAUUAUGGUCCUCAAUUUCUCCUAUUAAAAGAGACAGUAGAAGAACAAGAGAAAGGAAAGCUGAUAACCACUUUGAAAAUAAUUGGUGAAUCUGUUUCCCACAGAGCUCAGGACAGACAGCACUGAGGCGUGAGUCACCCACCGUCAGCCCAGAGCUGGGUCUUCUGAUGGGCAUCCUCUGCGAAACAAAGACACACACUGUUCACUUCUGCUGGGGAGGCACAAGUCCAGGCCUGUGCUCCCAGACUUGGAAACUCCACUCGUCCGACUGCAGCUCCUCAUGACCCCCCCCCCCCCAGGCUGUGAGAGGCUUGACUUUGCUGUGAUCACUUUUUCCUUUCUGGCUCAGGCCUGCGUUUCCUAAUCCUUUACUUCCACUGUCACUGUUUUCUUAUGGGAAAAAAAAAAGGCACUGGGGCAUAGUCACCAGGUGUGUGCCCAUCUUCUUCACCUGCCUAGCUGCCACCAGCUUCCUCAGUCCGCGUCUCUGCCCUGGGCUGCUCCUAGUGUAAGCAGGAACCUCCCAGAACUGAAGGAGCAUCAGUUCCAUCAUGCUUUGCUUGUUCAAGGUCAGGUUCAGAAGUCACUAUGUAGUUUCUGAGUGCAUGAAAUGCCUCAGUCUGAGCUGAGGAGAAGACGGAAAUCUGAGCAACAUCCAUGCGUGGAUUCAGGAAGCCCUGGCUCGGUGCGGGGUAUGUCUACAGACAGUGCAAGAGCCAUGGGCCCGAAAGGGACAAAUUGUGUCCCUGUGGGAAAGGUUGCGCACACAUGUCCCGUAGACGCUGGUCUUUCCAGCUCCCCACCCCCAGUGGCUUGAGCAGUGAGGUGAGUGCAUGGGAGACCAUCCCAUCUGCCUCAAGCCCAGCAGCCCUGUUUCUUCUAGGUCUUUCUGAAGUGGGUUCCUCGCACACAGGAACCGCCGAAGGAGCCCUUGCCUUCACUCACUGAAAAGAAUUGCUAUUACGGGUUCUGUUCCUCCUUAAGCCAGUCACCCUCACGCUGAUGAGGCCUUGAAUUAAUUGGCAAAUGAGGAUUGGCACACAGUGGUGAAGCAGUCGCUCUGUGCUAACAAUUUAUCCAGAUGGUUGCUAGCUACGGACCCUUUCCUCUUGUGUUAUGGUACUUCCUCUUGAGGCCACAGACAAAAUUAAGGCCCCAGGAAAUUCAUUCCCUCUCCACAUGGGCCCUCAAGCCCUGUUAUGCAUUGAGCUAGGUGUCAGGAAACUUGGUGAUGGUCUCACAACUAGGAAGGGCAAAGCUGGGAUUAGGAGCAGGGUUACCACCCUGACCACCUGACCAGCUGACCACCCAUCUCCCUGCACCCCAGGGUCCUGGCAUACCUUGCUGGGUGCUGCUGUGAGGUAUUCUGAGCAGGGGAACAUGACUACCCUGCCCAGCAGAGGAGCUGGGAGAACCCCUCACACUGGCAAGCGUUAAAUUAGAGCUGUGAUCAACACAGCUAUGCUGAGAUCCACGUGGUCUGAGACUAGGAACCAGGGCAUCUGAAUUGUAGGGAUACCAACAGGGCAGAGAUGAGUAGAUGGGAGCAGAGCGCCGCAGGCAUGCGCAAAGCCCCUGUGGCAUGAGUAGCGCCCGUUGUAUGCCUGGAGUAGAGAAAAGAGGCAAAUUGGAAGCGGGCCAUGCGGGACCCAGGAGCACACUUGGGGGCUCUUGCUGAGAGAACCCUGGGAAAACAAAGAAAACCAAGGACAUUUGGGUCUGGGAAUCUGCAGAGGAAUUAAUCAAGGCUCAGCUGGUUUGUGAGGUGAGGCAGAAGCAGCCCAAGGUGGCUAAAGGAUGGAACUGUUCCAUUGUUUUGGGACCUCCAAAAGGUGGGAAACUGGGCAGACCUGGCCAGCUAUGAAUGCAGCAUAGAGGAAUGGAAGCAGAGGAAGAGGGACAGGAGCCGGGUGGUGUGGCGACCACUGCAGGAUGGAAGGAAGGGCAGGUGAAGCAAAGAGGCCAUGGGCAGACCAUUGGGGUGGUGUUCUAGAAAUGCAGGUGCAGCUGCGCAUGCCUACCAGUGGGAUCCCACUGUGGUCUUAAUUUGUAAUCCCUGAUGAAUAGCAGGGCUAGGUGCCUUUCAUACCCCGUCAGUUACUCCCAUGGCUUCUAUGAAUGCCCUAUUCAAACUUCCGGUCCACUUUGGGGCUUGUACCAUGAUUGUCCCUUUUUGAAUUGUUGAUGCACAGAAGUUUUUAUGCUAAGAGGGAAGGGAAGGACACAUAAUUACAGUCCUAGCUAGGAGGGCUAGCAUCAGCAAGAUAUCUGUCAAUGAUAGCAUAUUGUUCUCACUAACAAUGGAAAGAGAUGCUAUUUGCUCCAUGAUGGGUCAUUUUCAUUGUGAACUUGACCUCCCAUUCUCUGGUAAAUGAAAUUCCAAAGCAUAGUCCUAGCUUCCACAAAAGAGCAAGACUGUGUUCUACUUGCCUUCAGUGUCUGGUCUACUAUAUUUAAUAUAUUGUCCUCUGAAGUCUAUCUUUGCUGUCACAAAUGACAAGAUUUCGUUUUUUUCACUGCUUAGUAAUGUUCCAUUCUAUGUAUGUAACAAAUUCAUCUAAGUUUUUUUUUAAACUUGAACUAUUUGAAUUUGUUAAUGCCCUUGGUUCUGUGCUCUUUUCAUGUCCAAAUAAACCUUGACUUCCCCCAA
Long non-coding RNA from Mesocricetus auratus (golden hamster), 3810 nucleotides. RefSeq lists it as uncharacterized. The record is from RefSeq and is a predicted model, not a curated record. The transcript is spliced from 2 exons. NCBI's taxonomy places the organism in Eukaryota, Metazoa, Chordata, Mammalia, Rodentia, Cricetidae.